Molecule: unclassified non-coding RNA, 337 nt
Filed under: soil metagenome
Description: partial contains 5.8S ribosomal RNA, internal transcribed spacer 2, and large subunit ribosomal RNA
Rfam family: 5.8S ribosomal RNA (bases 1-120)
Source: RNAcentral
GAUGAAGAACGUAGCGAAAUGCGAUAAGUAGUGUGAAUUGCAGAAUUCAGUGAAUCAUCGAAUCUUUGAACGCACAUUGCGCCCCUUGGUAUUCCAUGGGGCAUGCCUGUUCGAGCGUCAUUUGUACCUUCAAGCUCUGCUUGGUGUUGGGUGUUUGUCUCGCCUUUGCGUGUAGACUCGCCUUAAAACCAUUGGCAGCCGGCGUAUUGAUUUCGGAGCGCAGUACAUCUCGCGCUUUGCACUCAGAACGACGACGUCCAAAAGUACAUUUUUACACUCUUGACCUCGGAUCAGGUAGGGAUACCCGCUGAACUUAAGCAUAUCAAUAAGCGGAGGA